Molecule: long non-coding RNA, 1134 nt
Filed under: Bos indicus x Bos taurus (hybrid cattle)
Lineage: Eukaryota; Metazoa; Chordata; Mammalia; Artiodactyla; Bovidae
Description: lncRNA (ENSBIXG00005006837.1)
Source: RNAcentral
AAAUUGUCCCCAAAUGAGCAAAGUGAUCACUAUGUUUCUCCCUGUCUCCCUAGGCCCCAAACACACUAAGGAGCCUUUCACGUAAAUGCCAAGCUAAAGUGCCACUCCAGGGCGUGGUGGGUACUGCCACUGAAGUGUUUGUACAUCGAAUAACAAGAAGAUUCCACCAAAAGUCUGUAAAAAGGGGUGAGAAAACUGAUGUGGCUGUGACCCUAGCUUUGGCCUUGAAGUGAUUAUGAAAUGGAGGAAGAAAUUUGACUCUCCAAAUGACCAACAGGAGCUCAACAGGCAUCCUCCCCACUCAAGAUGCCGCCUGACACUGGGACGGAUUUCAAGUCUGAGAAAACCGCUGGGGUUUCCCAACACGCCCAGCCCACCGCGCUCCAUUCACCGGCCGCCCCGUCUUGGCGGAGGUCAUCCUUUCGGUCGCGAAGAUGACUUUACAAGUCUCAGUUGUAUCAAUUAAAGCACCGCGAUGUGAGAGAGGCCCCGUUUUAUUUCUCAGGUGUCUUUACUGGCUGAAAUAUGGACUCCUCUGCCACUCGUGGCCUUCUUCGCGGCCCUUGCUGCCUCCCUCCUGUGUAUUUGUGCAUGUUUUUGUUACGGCGUGCUUUCGUCUAGAUUUGAGUAAUAUGUCCCUCUGACUGUCCACUCUCUUCCCCAGAGACAGCGAGCUCCUUAUGAGCGGGCAAGGAGCCUCAUCGGCGUGUGUGCACAUCUCCCAGGCCUGCUACAGCUCAGUAAAUAUGCUUAUUAAACUCAGCUAACCCUCCACCUCGCCCCUACCAUCACCUUUCAGACUGCAUUGGAAUUUGGGUAUCUUCUAUAAUCAUCCUAGUUUGUCUGUAAUUCCCAAGAAUUUAUGACUCUGUGUUAAAAAAAGAAAUGUAGAAAAGGAAACGCCAAUACAACAAGCACUCUUAGCUGUCAGAGAGCCCUGCUUUGCUUUCAUUGAGCAUUUGUAGAGUGUCACUAGAUUUUCCUACACUUGGAAUUUUUUUUUUAAUUAGAUUUUCUCUAGCUUGAUCUUCAGUUCUAAAUGUUUCUUAGAGUGCUUUUCAAUUUCCAAAGGACUUCAUCAAUUUCACAGAGUAUAGGUCCAAUGUACACAAUAAAAUCCUUUGCUCUUUUACA